RNAcentral lists this ribosomal RNA (406 nucleotides) under uncultured bacterium. RNAcentral's name for it is "partial 16S ribosomal RNA". It matches the Rfam family "Bacterial small subunit ribosomal RNA", at positions 29 to 526 of the family's 1533-position model. The record is from RNAcentral.
AUUGAACGCUGGCGGCAGGCUUAACACAUGCAAGUCGAGCGAGCGGCGGACGGGUGAGUAAUGUCUGGGAAACUGCCUGAUGGAGGGGGAAAACUACUGGAAACGGUCGCUAAUACCGCAUACCCUCGGAUGUGCCCAGAUGGGAGUGUCUGUUAGGUGGGGUAAAGGCUCACCUAGGCGACGAUCCCUAGCUGGUCUGAGAGGAUGAACAGACACACUGGAACUAGAACACGGCCCAGAAGCCUCCGGAGGGCGUAGGGGGGGAAGAUUGGACAAUGGGGGCAAGCCGGAUGCAGCCAUGCGGGUGGUAGGAAGAGGGCCUUCGGGUUGUAAAGUACUUUCAUCGGGGAGGCGUUACCCGCAGAAGAAGCACCGGCUAACUACGUGCCAGCAGCCGCGGUAAUUC